RNAcentral lists this ribosomal RNA (430 nucleotides) under bacterium. Its description in RNAcentral is "partial 16S ribosomal RNA". It matches the Rfam family "Bacterial small subunit ribosomal RNA", at positions 355 to 776 of the family's 1533-position model. The record is from RNAcentral.
UGGGGAAUAUUGGACAAUGGGCGGAAGCCUGAUCCAGCCAUGCCGCGUGUGUGAAGAAGGCCUUUUGGUUGUAAAGCACUUUAAGCGAGGAGGAGGCUACUUGGAUUAAUACUCUAGGACAGUGGACGUUACUCGCAGAAUAAGCACCGGCUAACUCUGUGCCAGCAGCCGCGGUAAUACAGAGGGUGCGAGCGUUAAUCGGAUUUACUGGGCGUAAAGCGUGCGUAGGCGGCUUCUUAAGUCGGAUGUGAAAUCCCUGAGCUUAACUUAGGAAUUGCAUUCGAUACUGGGAAGCUAGAGUAUGGGAGAGGAUGGUAGAAUUCCAGGUGUAGCGGUGAAAUGCGUAGAGAUCUGGAGGAAUACCGAUGGCGAAGGCAGCCAUCUGGCCUAAUACUGACGCUGAGGUACGAAAGCAUGGGGAGCAAACAGG